AGUGAACGCUGGCGGUAGGCCUAACACAUGCAAGUCGAACGGCAGCACAGUAAGAGCCUGCUCUUACGGGUGGCGAGUGGCGGACGGGUGAGGAAUACAUCGGAAUCUACUUCUUCGUGGGGGAUAACGUAGGGAAACUUACGCUAAUACCGCAUACGACCUACGGGUGAAAGCAGGGGAUCUUCGGACCUUGCGCGAUUGAAUGAGCCGAUGUCGGAUUAGCUAGUUGGCGGGGUAAAGGCCCACCAAGGCGACGAUCCGUAGCUGACCUGAGAGGAUGAUCGGGCACAGAGGAAAUGAGGCACGGUCGAGGACACGACGGGUGGAAGAAGUAGGGAGUGUUGCGCAAGUGGCGAGAGACUGACAGAGCAACGCCGGGGGAGUGAAGCCAGUCGGCGGAUAGUACAACUAUGUUAUUAGAGAAGAACAAAUGUCGAAGUAAACAUGCACGUCUUGACGGGACCUAAUAAGAAAGCCACGGCUAACUACGUC
This 492-nucleotide ribosomal RNA is filed under the name uncultured bacterium. RNAcentral's name for it is "partial 16S ribosomal RNA". It matches the Rfam family "Bacterial small subunit ribosomal RNA", at positions 29 to 507 of the family's 1533-position model. The record is from RNAcentral.